AUACAGAGGGUGCAAGCGUUAAUCGGAAUUACUGGGCGUAAAGGGCGCGUAGGUGGUUAGUUUAGUCAGAUGUGAAAUCCCCAGGCUUAACCUGGGAACUGCAUCUGAAACUGGCUAGCUAGAGUACAGUAGAGGGAAGUGGAAUUUCCGGUGUAGCGGUGAAAUGCGUAGAUAUCGGAAGGAACACCAGUGGCGAAGGCGACUUCCUGGACUGAUACUGACACUGAGGCGCGAAAGCGUGGGGAGCAAACAGGAUUAGAUACCCCAGUAGUCC
Molecule: ribosomal RNA, 274 nt
Filed under: uncultured bacterium
Lineage: Bacteria
Description: partial 16S ribosomal RNA
Rfam family: Bacterial small subunit ribosomal RNA
Source: RNAcentral